Molecule: ribosomal RNA, 630 nt
Filed under: Streptomyces sp.
Lineage: Bacteria; Bacillati; Actinomycetota; Actinomycetes; Kitasatosporales; Streptomycetaceae
Description: bacterial SSU rRNA
Rfam family: Bacterial small subunit ribosomal RNA
Source: RNAcentral
UGAGUAACACGUGGGCAAUCUGCCCUUCACUCUGGGACAAGCCCUGGAAACGGGGUCUAAUACCGGAUAUGAGCCGGGACCGCAUGGUCCUGGCUGUAAAGCUCCGGCGGUGAAGGAUGAGCCCGCGGCCUAUCAGCUUGUUGGUGAGGUAAUGGCUCACCAAGGCGACGACGGGUAGCCGGCCUGAGAGGGCGACCGGCCACACUGGGACUGAGACACGGCCCAGACUCCUACGGGAGGCAGCAGUGGGGAAUAUUGCACAAUGGGCGAAAGCCUGAUGCAGCGACGCCGCGUGAGGGAUGACGGCCUUCGGGUUGUAAACCUCUUUCAGCAGGGAAGAAGCGAGAGUGACGGUACCUGCAGAAGAAGCGCCGGCUAACUACGUGCCAGCAGCCGCGGUAAUACGUAGGGCGCAAGCGUUGUCCGGAAUUAUUGGGCGUAAAGAGCUCGUAGGCGGCUUGUCACGUCGAUUGUGAAAGCUCGGGGCUUAACCCCGAGUCUGCAGUCGAUACGGGCUAGCUAGAGUGUGGUAGGGGAGAUCGGAAUUCCUGGUGUAGCGGUGAAAUGCGCAGAUAUCAGGAGGAACACCGGUGGCGAAGGCGGAUCUCUGGGCCAUUACUGACGCUGAGG